This 235-nucleotide ribosomal RNA is filed under the name uncultured bacterium. RNAcentral describes it as "partial 16S ribosomal RNA". It matches the Rfam family "Bacterial small subunit ribosomal RNA", at positions 96 to 334 of the family's 1533-position model. The record is from RNAcentral.
CGGCGGACGGGUGAGUAACGCGUAGAAAUCUGCCUAGUAGUGGGGGAUAGCCCAGAGAAAUUUGGAUUAAUACCGCAUACGCCCUACGGGGGAAAGGAAGGGACCUUCGGGCCUUUCGCUAUUAGAUGAGUCUGCGUCGGAUUAGCUUGUUGGUGAGGUAAUGGCUCACCAAGGCGACGAUCCGUAGCUGGUCUGAGAGGAUGAUCAGCCACACUGGAACUGAGACACGGUCCAG